CCUGGCCAACAUGGCGAAACCCCACCUCUACUAAAAAUACAAAAAUUAGUGGGAUGUGCUGGUGCAUGCCUGUAAUCCCAACUACUCGGGAGGCUGAGGCAGGAGAAUAGCUUGAACUCACAAGGUGGAGGUUGCAGUGAGCCGAGAUCGCACCAGUACACUUCAGCCUGGCUGACACAGCCAGACUCCAUCUCAAAACAAAACCAAAAAAAGAGGUUCCUCGCUGGCUGUGGUAGCAUGGUGUAGUCCCAGCUACUCAAGAGGCUGAGGCAGGAAGAUCACUUAAAGCCAGGAGUUUAAGGCUGUAGUGCGUUAUGAUUGAGCCUGUGAACAGCCACCGUACUCCAACCUGGGCAACAUAGCAAGAUCUCACGUCCAAAAAAAUUAAUUUAAUUUAUUUUCAAUAAGAGGCUCCUGAAGAGACGUUCCAUCACACCCUUCCUUUCAUCACCACAGUACAUACAUUCUUAAGAAAGUAUGUGAUCUAAGCUUGGCCAAUUAGAUGCUGUUACAUUUGAAUUUUGAAUCAAGAGACACAAAGACAAUACAAAUUGUUACAGUUUAUGCAGGCCAUAAAUUAUUUUUUACUUUUUGGCAAAUUGUUACAGUUUAUGGGGUCUACAAUUUAUUUUUUUAUUUUCUGGCUUAAGUUAUCUAGGAUUUGUUUCUGUGGUUUACAGUCAAAGAACCCAAAGACCAGAUCACUCUUGACUACCAUAAAAAUGAUUAAUUAUAAAGGGAUACAAGAAAAACAGGAGGCUGGGCACAGUGUCUCAUGGCUGUAAUCCCAGCACUUUGGGAGGCCAAGGUGGGUGGAUCACUUGAGGUCAGAAGUUCGAGACCAGCCUGGCCAACAUGGUGAAACCCCAUCUCUACUAAAAAUACAAAAGUUAGCCGGGCGUGAUGGUGGGCGCCUGUAAUCCCAGCUACUUGGGAGGCUGAAGCUUGAGAAUCACUUGAACCGGGGAGGCAGAGGUUACAGUGAGCCGAGAUCGCACCGCUGCACUCCAGCCUGGGCAAUAGAGCAAGACUGAGUCACAGAACAACAACAACAACAACAAACAAAAGCACACACACAAAACAGGUGAUAAGUUAGCUAUUGCCACUUUAAUUUUGGAUGGUUUAACUGACUGUCCUGAACUGACUGAUCCUGAACUCCUUCUGCAACACAAUAUGUAAAAAUGUUCAUUAAAACAUUGUAAAAUGCAUCUACAUUUGAGAGGAAAAAGUAAAACUCUCUAUUCACAGAUAACACAAAUAUACAGAAAAUCCUAAGGAAUCCACUAAAAAAUCAUUAGAAGUAAUAAAUGAACUCAGCAAGUUUACAAGAUACAGGAUCCACUGAGAUUCUGAUAAACAUGGAAGGCAAAAACAUUGAAACCGUCAUUUAUAAACUCACAUAGGCUCCAGUGAUUAUCUCUUCUUUUCUUUGUUAAAAAAAUGCAUUUAAAAAUCAUUCUAGAAAAUUGUUAGGCAAUGUUAAAUUUACCAAUAACUCUGACUCUUCUUUGCCCCUACCACUUUUUAUUAUCUUUGAAAAUCAAGACAAUAUUUGCCCUUCUUCAAUCUUUUAUCAUUUCUUAUUUUUCUCUGGCUUCUGGAAAGUGAGUAAUUACCUUUACGAUCACUUAUGAAAUCUCUUGCAUGGAUAAUUCAUUUAGGCCUAGAAACUCAUUUAAAGCAAUCGAUUGCUUGCUUACCAUGCUGGAUUUUAGUAGCCUUUAAAUCAUGUUUAUUCUACCUUUUUUCAUUAAAACAUUAGUCUCUUUGGGAGAGGAGACAAAUAAAUUAAAACUUGAGUUUUACCUUUUCUUUGUCAUCUGAUAGCAUUAUGUCAUCAGCACGAAGCAGUAGCUUCCAUCCUUUCUUGUUCACCCUCUUGUGGCAAGUAUUACUUGAAAAACAAAAAAAUAAAUUUAAAAAAAGUCUUUGUAUUCUUUUUAAAGGCAAAAAUUAUCUAAGCCUGCAGGGACAUUUCCAUUCUUAUAGGCUAUGGUACUCUUUAAAGCACGCUGUUUAAAAAAUCUGAUUGCAAUAAGUAUGUCCUGUGAAGUGACAUGCUCCUUAGAGUAAGAUGACUUGGCUUGCUGGCCACUCUGUUUGGCAGCCAGCCCUGGAGCUGGGUCAGUUUCCCCUGGCUCUGGCAUCACUCCUUCUCAGAUAAUUCCUUUCUCCCUGUGGCCAGUCAUUGUGGUGACAGUUAUUAUUCUUUUUCAUGAGCCUAGAAAAUUUAUGUGGUGGAUGUCCCUCUGAAUACUAGAUACUGCCACUGAAUUAGAAGAGAAUCAUAUGCACUUGUAUAUUCUGACAGCCAUGUCACUUACACCUUCUCACCUUUUGUCUCGUCCUAUUUGCUAUCUACCAUUCUACCACUGUCCAUUUCUACCAGCUGAAUAACUCUCUGAUGCAGGGGUUACUCUGCACCCUCAUCUCCCUUACUGUAGACUUGUUCCUUUUGAAUGAGAUAAAAUUUCCUUGACUUAUAAUAUUUCAGUCAUAAUUUCCUUGCUACCUCAUGUACCGAUACCUAUUGGAUUAUGUUCAUUUUGUUAAUUUUCCCAAGUUCAAUUUGCUUUACCACUAAUUCUCUCUUUCCAGGCUGAGAUUUCAAAAGUCAUCAGCAUUAUAUUUCACCUUACUUCUGUCUGUUUUAUUGAGUCCCAUCUGAAUCAGCAGAAGUGGCUGUAGGUUGGCUGGUAUCAUGAAUUUUGGCAGAUUAUGCUUCAUGAGUCAUCAUUCCACACUUUAGGAAGAUAACGAACUAGCCGUUGCAAGACUGCCUUCCUACUCAUCAGCAGAGAAAACAUGGACUUGGAAGCCAGGACACUUGCGUUCGUGUUCCUACACUGUCAAACAUCAUGAGCUAUGCAAAAUUUUUAAGUUGAUGUAUUUGGAUAUAGGCGAAGCUGCUGUAAUGGGAAUAUCCCAAGAGUCAUUGGUUAAAGAAAAAUAGAUGGUUUUUUGUUUGUUUGUUUUUGAGACAGUCUUGCUCUGUCACCCAGGCUGGAGUGCAGUGGUGCGAUCUCAGCUCAUUGUAAACUCCACCUCCUGGGUUCAAGUGAUUCUCCUGCCCCGGUCUCCCAAAUAGCUGGGACUACAGGUGCAAGCCACCAUGCACGGCUAAUUUUUGUGUAUUUCUAGUAGAGAUGAGAUUUCACCAUGUUGGCCAGACUGGUCUCAAACUCCUGACCUCAGGUGAUCUACCUGCCUCGGCCUCCCAAAAUGCUGGGAUUACAGAUGUGGGCCACCGCACCCAGCCUAGAUGUUUAUUUCCGAUUGUUACCUUAUCUACUCUGAUCAAAACAGUCUCACCAGCACCAUAUCCACAUUCUAGCCCAUGGAAAGGGUAAAGAAAAGAAAGUGGAAGAUAUUAGUUUCCAUUUAAGGAAGUGACAUGGAAAUAAUAUAAGUCACCUGUGUUCACAUUCCACUGGCAAAAAUUCAGUCACAGGAAUGUACUUAGCUGCAGAGGAGGCUAGGAUAUGCCCUCCAAAAACUCAGGGGGGAUGUCCUACUUGUAAAAGGAAGAAAUGAAAAAUGGACACUGAGAGGAAAUCAGCAGUCUCAGAGGUAAUAUACUUACACAGUUUUUUAAAAAACAUAAAAUGAUGCAGAAUGAAGUUUCCACUCUAUUCACCAUCUAUCCAGUCCUCAUGCCUCCCAACAAGAGGUAAAUACUUUAUUAUUGUGUCAUGUAUCUUUCCAGAGUUUUUCUAAGCAAUUUGCAACAGAUAUAAAUAUGUAUCCUUAUUUCCUACCUUACCCCAUAUUGUACAUGAAAGAAAAAAUAUACUAUGUAUAACAUUCUGUAUCUUUUUUUCACUUAAUAUAUUUUGCAGUUCCUUUUAUAUAGAUACAUAGUUACCUUCUUCAUUCAUUUAUACAGCUGCCUACUGUUUCUAAGGCUAUAUCACUGAUAAAGUCUCAUGGAUACACUCAAGGUUUUUUCAGUCUUUUAUCAUGAUAAACCAUGCCGCAAUAAUAACCUUGUACUAGUCAUUUUUAACAUGUGAAAGUAUAUCUGCAAGAUACAUUUCCAGAAAUGGGAUUAGCCAAUCAUAUGAUAUUAAGCCAACCUUUUGAUCUCUUUGAGCUGCAUUUGUUAACUAAUAAAUUAAGCUCAUAUUUACCUCAUAGGAUCAUUAUUAUAAUGAAAUAACCAUAUAAACAAUUAUUGUACAACAAUAUCAAAAACAAAAUAGAGAUAAGUUUAUCAAAAUAUGUGUAAGAUCUGUACUCUAAAAACCUAUAAAACUGUGUUGAGAGAAAUUAAAGGAAGCCUAAAGUAAUGGAGAAAUAUACCAUGAUCAUGGAUUGAAAGACUCAAUAUUGUUAAUAUGUAAUUCUCCCUAAAUUGAUCUACAGAUUCA
RNAcentral lists this long non-coding RNA (4370 nucleotides) under Homo sapiens (human). RNAcentral's name for it is "non-protein coding lnc-SOWAHB-5:9". The record is from RNAcentral. Lineage: Eukaryota; Metazoa; Chordata; Mammalia; Primates; Hominidae.